Molecule: long non-coding RNA, 2139 nt
Filed under: Solanum tuberosum (potato)
Lineage: Eukaryota; Viridiplantae; Streptophyta; Magnoliopsida; Solanales; Solanaceae
Description: long non-coding RNA (STUB_LNC008059)
Source: RNAcentral
UAUCACAAGUCGCUAAUAACAAAAGAGUACUCAUGACUCUAGUGAAAUGACUAACGGAACGACUCUAAGAAUUUAAAAGAAAACAGUGAUAGCAAAUAAAUAAACUUCUUGUCGACGUAAAUCAAUGUCUGCUCACGUGCAUUUGUCAACUCAUGCACUCUAGCUAAAGAAAGCCUCAUCAAUGUCACUUGUAAUCUCUGUAAAAAAAAAUAUAGUGGGGAGUUAGUCACUAACUCAAUGAGAACACUGAACCAUAAACAUUUUUUAUGGGCAAAAGUCAAAAAACAUAUUAGUAUAAUUAUUAGAAAAUACCAUGAAAUAAAUGCCCUUUUCGAAAAUGUUAACAAUAACCAGUCUUGUCUGUUUCAAAUAAAUACACAUUGUCAUAUCAUUUUUAAUUAUUUUUAAGGGAAAAUUCAUUAAUUGGAACAAUUCAAAUAUAUAAUAUCAACAUUGACAAGAACAAAAAUAUCGGGGGAAUUUCUGAGUUCCACAUCAAACCAUAAUUUUACGGACAAUCAAAUGAGCUCAACUGCCCUUGUGCUUAGAUUUCUUGAAAUGGGCUUCAAAGGUUUAAAAAUGAGAACUUUGGUGAUGGGUUUGAAGGGUAUUUGAGAGAUUUAGAAAGUGAUCGUAAUUGUGAAACAAGGUGGGUAACCACCAUUUUUGUACCAAAGAUACACAAUGUUAUUAGACUGUUACUAUAAUAAGUGUUCACCUAAACACUAUCAUAUCAAAUCUAUUGUUUGGGAGGUUUCCAGGAACAUAUGUAUCUUGGUCAAUAUACGGCAUGUAACCUUUGUGACUGAGUACCAAAGUUGUUUUGAGACUAUCCUAUCAGCCCUCGGUAAGUGUGUUGUACUUUUUUCAUGCCUUGCAUAUGUUCAUCCACGUAGAAGCAAUAUGACCACUCAUCGUAAGAUUGAGGCAGAUUUAAAGUGGUUGUAUUGCUUCUAUGUGGAUGAACAAAUGCAGGGCAUGGCGAAAGUUUAGUUGACUCACCGAUAAUCGAUAGGAUAGCCUUAAAACAACUGUGGUAUGCAGUCACAAAGGCUACCUAUCGUAUAUCAACCAAGUGACAUUUGUUCCUAGAAACCUCGGUGAGUAAUAUAAAUGCAAAUGCGACAUUGAUACGCACAAGGUGUUUGAUGAAAUGUUUUAUAAAGGAGAGACCGACACUUCCCAAUCUAAUGACUAUUUGGCAUAAGAAAUUUCAGCACCUAUCUACUUUUUUCCCUUUUACACCAAAGGAGUCUACCUUUGAGUAUGGUUAUUCCAAAGAAGGGAACAAGGCAAAAUUGUAAGUAGAAGGCUCAAAGGAUGUGGUUCAACAGAAGUUGGUUCCUAUUAUAAAUAUCCAAGAGGAGUUGGUUCCAAAGGAUUAAGACAGUAUGAGGGAGUGACUUCACUUAUCACCCAUACAAUGCUAGUUGAUGAAGAUGUUAGUACUCUUGAGUGUUUACCUUACCUUUUCGAACAACCCUUUUUACCCUUGGUAUAUGUUGAUUUUAGGGAUCUCACAAUGUCUAAGAAAUUGAAAAUGACUUACACAUAUGUAAGUGCUUUGAUACUGAGUUGUCUGAUUCAAAUGAAGUUGGUUCCAUCAACAGAAAAGGGAUGAAAGCUUGACAUAUGUAUUUAGUUCAUAGCAAGAAUCAAUAGUUUAUCACUUAUAUACUUUUAAACAACUUUGUGGAUCUCCUAAACAUGUUACUAGUUGUUUCUGAGAUACGAAAAGUUGUAUUGGAUUCUAGGUGCUCCCAAAACAUGGGAAUGGUUUAAGAAGAACGUGUAGCCAAGUCACAUUCAAGUCUUUCAAGAAGAAACAAGCAAUGAUGACAACAUACGUGCUUACCAACAUGUCAAUCCCAUUGCACUGCCUUGUCUUUAUGGCCAAACAUUUUGCUAAACAUAGUAGAGAUGGUUGUAGCAACGUCAAAUUAUGGAUUCGUCAAAAAAGGUUUACGAUCACGAGAUAGUGCAUGUAGAAAAAGUGACAUGUUUAUUCAUUUGCACGCCUCAAACUAAAAUCUACACACAUCAAAAUGAAUUUAAACAAGGUAAUGAUAUUAGAAUAGUUAACUGUGUGAGGCAAACCUGCAAUUUUGAUCUUCUUUUACAUUCAGUCCAUAAAGAUCC